RNAcentral lists this ribosomal RNA (478 nucleotides) under uncultured archaeon. RNAcentral's name for it is "bacterial SSU rRNA". It matches the Rfam family "Archaeal small subunit ribosomal RNA", at positions 45 to 526 of the family's 1478-position model. The record is from RNAcentral.
UUAGCCAUGCUAGUCGAACGAGUUCACACUCGUGGCAGAUAGCUCAGUAACACGUGGCCAAGCUACCCUUCAGUCAGCGAUACCCUCGGGAAACUGAGGCUAAUAGCUGAUACUCGACGCCAGCUGGAAUGCGGCGUCGUCGAAAGACACCGCUGAAGGAUGCGGCUGCGGCCGAUUAGGUAGACGGUGGGGUAACGGCCCACCGUGCCAGUAAUCGGUACGGGUGAUGAGAGUCAGAGCCCGGAGACGGAAUCUGAGACAAGAUUCCGGGCCCUACGGGGCGCAGCAGGCGCGAAACCUUUACACUGCACGGAAGUGCGAUAGGGGAAUCCCAAGUGCGAGGGCAUAUUAGCCCUCGCUUUUGUUGACUGUAAGGUGGUCAACGAAUAAGAGCUGGGCAAGACCGGUGCCAGCCGCCGCGGUAAUACCGGCAGCUCAAGUGAUGUCCCAUAUUAUUGGGCCUAAAGCGUCCGUAGCU